GCAAAUUCUUCCUUGAUUAUCAUUUCUCCUCUUUUGGAAGGAAAGUAAUUCUCUUUUCUUUUUCAUAAUUAAAGAAGAAAACAAUACAAGAGAAUUCUGAAUUCUCUCUCUAUGUAUUUGAGACUUUGACAGAUGAAGUCUUCUUCUCCUUCUCCAUCUCCUUCUUCUCUUUUUCUAUAUAGCAAAAAGAACAGAUGCCUCAGCAUGGGGAGGCUGGUUCCUUUCUUCUUGUCUUCUCUGGGUUUAACAACUAUUUUCUGCUUGUUCAUUCUUUAUUCGCCAAACCCUUUUAGGUCAAUUCUUAAACAUAAUGACCCAAAUCAAAAGCUCCUCGUGAUCAAGCCAGAAAAGGAGAAGGAGAAUUGCGACUUGUAUAAGGGUGAGUGGAUACCAGACCUUGAAGGGUCUAAAUAUACAAAUUCAAGCUGUGCAACAAUUCCCAAUUCAAAGAACUGUUUCAGGAAUGGAAGGAAAGAUACAGAUUUCCUUAAUUGGAGAUGGAAACCAGAGAAAUGUGAUGUUCCAAGGAUUGAUCCCAAGGCCUUCUUGGAAAUUGUUCGAGGAAAAACACUGGCAUUCAUCGGUGACUCAGUUGCCAGGAACCACAUGGAAUCACUCCUUUGCCUCUUGUCACAGGCGGAAGUUCCAAUAGAUGCUUACAAGGACAAAGAUGACAGAAACAGAAUAUGGUACUUUCCUGCUCAUCAGUUCACUCUUAAAAUCCUAUGGACAAAAUUCCUGGUAGUCGGCGAGGAGAGAAAGAUCAACGAUUCUUCGUCUGGAAUUUUCGACUUGUAUCUGGACAAGGUUGAUGACAACUGGACUAGAGCUCUCCACACCAUUGAUUACAUUAUCAUCUCCGACGGACACUGGUUCUUCAGACCAAUAUACCUACAUAAAGGUUCAAAUGUUGUAGCAUGUAUCUACUGCAACGAACCAAAUGUGACUGAUCGAGGUGUUAGCUUUGCUGUGAGUAUGGCAUUUCGAGCUGCUUUGGGUCAUAUUAAUCACUGCAAGAAAUGCAAGGGCGUAGUCACAUUGUUGAGGACAUUCUCACCAUCCCAUUUUGAGAAUGGGUUUUGGAACACCGGAGGAAGCUGCAACAGGACAAGUCCUUUCAGUGAAAAGGAGAUUGACUAUGGAGCUCGUGAGUGGGAACUCAGGAACAUGCAGGUAGAGGAGAUUGAAAGAGCAAACAGGAAAAGAAAGGAAGGGAAGAGGUUUGAGGUUUUGGAUGUCACAAGGGCUAUGCUUAUGAGACCUGAUGGGCAUCCGGGAGAUUACUGGGGCAACAAAUGGAUGAAGGGUUAUAAUGACUGUGUUCAUUGGUGCUUGCCAGGUCCCAUUGAUUUGUGGAGCGAUUUGUUGCUGGCUGUUCUCAGGAGGCUGAGUUGAUGUCCUGGUCAAGAGAGGGAGUGUAAUUAGGUAAAAGAGUACACAUUUUAUAUAGUAAUACUGUCCAAUUGUUUUCUCGUCGGACAAUAAUUAUUCCGGCUCACAAACGUUCAAGCAUUACCAGCGGAGAUGGAAAUAAAUAACUAUGGCGUCGAAAGAUUGCUUUUGGUCCAUUAGCGUGUAUAUGAUAUAACAGAAGAUGAACAGAAGAUGAUCCAUAGGAAAUAACUAACUAUGACGUCGAAAGAUUGCUUUCGGUUCAUUAGUGUGUAUAUAAUAUAACAGAAGAUGAUCCAUAGGAAUAUAGUACAAUCAUAAUAAUAUACAUCAGAGAUUGACAUCUAUUCCUGAGUAAACGUCAAUCAAUUAAGGUCACAGAUCUCAGGUUGCAGUUCUACACUUUUAAUUUGUGCAGCUUCGCGGUCUAAAUUCACUUUGGAUGUAAAUACCUGUUGUGUUUCCAGCAAGCUCUAAAAUCUCUCAAAUUUAAAGCUAUAUUGAUGACAAUUGACUCUUGUCCCGACAUUUCAACCGUCAGAUAAAGGGAGAGCUACUAGGAAGGAAAAUGGUAAUUCCCCGUUAUGCAUACGGACUAUAAGAAAAAAAGAAAGAUGGAUGCAGCCUUUCUCAGAUCUCCACAACAAAGAAAAACUAGUCCAAUUAUUCUCCACGCCCCUCAUCAUCCAGAGGUAGACAAGAAGAUCAAAUGCCUGACAAUUCCAGAGCAGUAGGUUUAGCCUGGAGUGGCCUAAUGAUUGCCAUCACAUGAUAAAAGAACCUAGCUAUGCAGACCAAGCUAAUUCUAUGGGAAGAAAUGGACUCGCAAGCUUACAUUAAAUGGGAUGCUAUGUAUUAGGCAAUGCAUGGAAGCCUGUAGAAUUAAUUGAUAAUGCAGGGGGUUAAAAAGAAACAAAGAAAAUAAGUUAGGCACACUCCUCAAAUCUUGCACGAAAAUAAAGGAAGCAGACUCUUCCUUCUGGAUGUCCCUUCGUACCAGUACACAGACACAAUCUAGAUCCAUAUCGGCU
Molecule: unclassified non-coding RNA, 2423 nt
Filed under: Hevea brasiliensis (rubber tree)
Lineage: Eukaryota; Viridiplantae; Streptophyta; Magnoliopsida; Malpighiales; Euphorbiaceae
Source: RNAcentral